RNAcentral lists this long non-coding RNA (277 nucleotides) under Ixodes scapularis (black-legged tick). RNAcentral describes it as "uncharacterized LOC120846211". Lineage: Eukaryota; Metazoa; Arthropoda; Arachnida; Ixodida; Ixodidae. The record is from RNAcentral.
GAGUCUGGAUUCUUUUCCGUCCCGUCCGUGCAGACAAAGGCCUGUUUGAACCUUCAACGUGCGUGGGUCAAAUGAUUGUUUAGGAAGUCUGUAUGAUGACGAAAAAACUGCAGGUGACUAGAAGCUGCCGAUGAGCUGCCAGUCCGGAUGGCAGCUAUCAACACAGCAAGGGCCUGCAGGCGCAUCAGCUCUCCUCCCGUUCCUCUACUGCCAUUGGAGACAGGAUGCUUUGUAAAAGAUUGUUUCUUUUCUUCAGUGGGAGCUCAUGAAGGUGGCA